Molecule: long non-coding RNA, 351 nt
Filed under: Phasianus colchicus (ring-necked pheasant)
Lineage: Eukaryota; Metazoa; Chordata; Aves; Galliformes; Phasianidae
Description: lncRNA (ENSPCLG00000004237.1)
Source: RNAcentral
AUGCUCAACCCUUUGAGAGGUCUCCAUGCUCCACACAGAAAAGGUGCUGGCAUUGGACCUGAAGUUUUCAACACACGACGAGGGAAAUGGCAGCCACAUGAGCAAGCAGGUGCUGGCAUUGGACCUGAAGUUUUCAACACACGCCGAGGGAAAUGGCUGGCACAUGAGCAAGCAGGUGCUGGCAUUGGAUCAGAAUUUUUCAACACACGACGAGGGAAAUGGCUGGCACAUCAGAAGCAGGUGAGCAGGGCCACGCAGGGGAGGGCAGCACAGGGAAGCACGGCACAUGGCUUCUUCUGCAUUCCUUCCCAUCUGCCUUGCAGAUGCCUAUCUGCACACGAUGUAACCUAA